RNAcentral lists this ribosomal RNA (1252 nucleotides) under Dimeringophrys bilineata. RNAcentral's name for it is "eukaryotic LSU rRNA". It matches the Rfam family "Eukaryotic large subunit ribosomal RNA", at positions 156 to 1219 of the family's 3401-position model. The record is from RNAcentral. Lineage: Eukaryota; Metazoa; Arthropoda; Insecta; Diptera; Tephritidae.
GAAUGUCAAAUUUCUAGUAUGAGAAGUUAACGAUUUAAGUCCUUCUUAAAUGAGGCCAUUUACCCAAAGAGGGUGCCAGGCCCGUAUAACGUUAAUGAUUACUAGAUGGCAUUUCCAAAGAGUCGUGUUGCUUGAUAGUGCAGCACUAAGUGGGUGGUAAACUCCAUCUAAAACUAAAUAUAACCAUGAGACCGAUAGUAAACAAGUACCGUGAGGGAAAGUUGAAAAGAACUCUGAAUAGAGAGUUAAAUAGUACGUGAAACUGCUUAGAGGUUAAGCCCGAUGAACCUGAAUAUCCGUUAUGGAAAAUUCAUCAUUAUGAUUUUAAUAUUUAUAAUAUUAUAAUAAUGGUGUGCAUUUUUUCUAUAAAGGACAUUGUAAUCUAUUAAUAUAAAUUAAUUUAUCAUAAGAUCAUUUGCGUUAGUUUAUUCAAAUUAUUUUGCUUGCAAUUUAAUAUCGAAUAAAUGCUUUUGAUUUGAUAAAGUGUUGAUAGAUUUAUUAUAUAUAGUGCUUAAAUAUUUAUAUUUUAUAAUAGCAUAUUAAUCAAUGAUUUUUGUGUUCAUUAUAUGCACUUGUAUGAUUAACAAUGCGAAAGAUUCAGGAUACCUUCGGGACCCGUCUUGAAACACGGACCAAGGAGUCUAACAUAUUUGCAAGUUAUUGGGAAUAAAAACCUAAUAGCGUAAUUAACAUAACUUAUUUAAUGGGAUUAGUUUUUAGCCUAUUUAUAGUCUAUUAAUUCAAUCCCGGGGCGUUCUAUACAGUUAUGUAUAAUAAUAUUUAUAUUAUUUAUACCUCUAACUAGAACGUACCUUGAGCAUAUAUGCUGUGACCCGAAAGAUGGUGAACUAUACUUGAUCAGGUUGAAGUCAGGGGAAACCCUGAUGGAAGACCGAAACAGUUCUGACGUGCAAAUCGAUUGUCAGAAUUGAGUAUAGGGGCGAAAGACCAAUCGAACCAUCUAGUAGCUGGUUCCCUCCGAAGUUUCCCUCAGGAUAGCUGGUGCAUUUAAAAAUUAUGUAAAAUAAUCUUAUCUGGUAAAGCGAAUGAUUAGAGGCCUUAGGGUCGAAACGAUCUUAACCUAUUCUCAAACUUUAAAUGGGUAAGAACCUCACCUUUCUUGGUAUGAAGGUUGUGGUUGUGAUAUAAUGUGCCCAGUGGGCCACUUUUGGUAAGCAGAACUGGCGCUGUGGGAUGAACCAAACGUAAUGUUACGGUGCCAAAAUUAACAACUCAUGCAGAUACCAUGAAA